RNAcentral lists this ribosomal RNA (253 nucleotides) under uncultured Eubacteriales bacterium. Its description in RNAcentral is "uncultured Clostridiales bacterium partial 16S ribosomal RNA". It matches the Rfam family "Bacterial small subunit ribosomal RNA", at positions 524 to 776 of the family's 1533-position model. The record is from RNAcentral. Lineage: Bacteria; Bacillati; Bacillota; Clostridia; Eubacteriales.
UACGUAGGGGGCAAGCGUUAUCCGGAAUUACUGGGUGUAAAGGGAGCGUAGACGGUGAUGUAAGUCUGGAGUGAAAGGCAUGGGCUCAACCUGUGGACUGCUUUGGAAACUGUGCAGCUGGAGUGCAGGAGAGGUAAGCGGAAUUCCUAGUGUAGCGGUGAAAUGCGUAGAUAUUAGGAGGAACACCAGUGGCGAAGGCGGCUUACUGGACUGUAACUGACGUUGAGGCUCGAAAGCGUGGGGAGCAAACAGG